CAGGUCUUGACAUCCACGGAACCCUGGUGAAAGCCGGGGGUGCCCGCAAGGGAGCCGUGAGACAGGUGCUGCAUGGUCGUCGUCAGCUCGUGUCGUGAGAUGUUGGGUUAAGUCCCGCAACGAGCGCAACCCUUGUUGCUAGUUGCCAUCAGUUCGGCUGGGCACUCUAGCGAGACUGCCUACGAAAGUAGGAGGAAGGCGGGGAUGACGUCUGAUCCGCAUGGCCCUUACGACCUGGGCGACACACGUGCUACAAUGCCUGCCACAAAGCGCUGCGACCCGGCAACGGGAAGCCAAUCGCAUAAAAGCAGGCUCAGUUCGGAUUGGGGUCUGCAACUCGACCCCAUGAAGCUGGAAUCGCUAGUAAUCGCGGAUCAGCCAUGCCGCGGUGAAUACGUUCCCGGGCCUUGUACACACCGCCCGUCAAGCCAUGGGAGUGGGUUUUGCCUGAAGUCGCCGGGAGCCACAGGCAGGCGCCUAGGGUAAGGCUCAUGACUGGGGCUAAGUCGUAACAAGGUAACC
Molecule: ribosomal RNA, 522 nt
Filed under: uncultured bacterium
Lineage: Bacteria
Description: bacterial SSU rRNA
Rfam family: Bacterial small subunit ribosomal RNA
Source: RNAcentral